Jatropha curcas is the source of this 230-nucleotide non-coding RNA. Lineage: Eukaryota; Viridiplantae; Streptophyta; Magnoliopsida; Malpighiales; Euphorbiaceae. The record is from RefSeq and is a predicted model, not a curated record.
UUCCGUUCUAUUUACUAUCUUCAAUAUUUGAAGCUAUCAACUUUGGCUCUACUGAUAUUUCUUGGUCCAUCACAAUCAAUAACCUUUUUUUUAAGUUGCUUGUCUAAUGUUAAGGAUUAGUUGUAAAUAGAACUCUAUUAGGAGUUAGAUUCCUAUUAGGUUUAUAGUAUUUUGUAUGUGUAUAUAUAUGUGUCCCUAUUGAUGAAUCAAAGAUAGAAAAAUAUUUUUCC